UCAAGGANUAGUUUAAGUAGAAUUUCAGCUUUGGGUGCUGAUGGUGGAACUUGGAGUUUCUUCCUUGAG
This 69-nucleotide transfer RNA is filed under the name Rhinolophus hipposideros (lesser horseshoe bat). Its description in RNAcentral is "tRNA-Pro". Lineage: Eukaryota; Metazoa; Chordata; Mammalia; Chiroptera; Rhinolophidae. The record is from RNAcentral.